AAUAAAGUGCCUGAUUAAAGGAUUAAAUUGUAAAUUUAAUUAUAGUGUACACCCACUCUUUGUUA
This 65-nucleotide transfer RNA is filed under the name Tetraleurodes acaciae (acacia whitefly). RNAcentral describes it as "tRNA-Tyr". The record is from RNAcentral. Lineage: Eukaryota; Metazoa; Arthropoda; Insecta; Hemiptera; Aleyrodidae.